RNAcentral lists this ribosomal RNA (591 nucleotides) under Cystastrum externum. Its description in RNAcentral is "eukaryotic LSU rRNA". The stretch from base 168 to 321 matches the Rfam family "5.8S ribosomal RNA". The record is from RNAcentral. Lineage: Eukaryota; Fungi; Basidiomycota; Cystobasidiomycetes; Cystobasidiales; Cystobasidiaceae.
UCCGUAGGUGAACCUGCGGAAGGAUCAUUAAUGAAUUGUUAGGACGCUCUUUUUAGAGGUCCGACCCCUUCAUUUCCUUACACUGUGCACACACUUCUUUUCACACAUUUUUUAACCCAUUAGUCUAAGAAUGUAAAUAGUCUCUUAAUUGAGCAUAAAAUAAAUAAAACUUUUAGCAACGGAUCUCUUGGCUCUUGCAUCGAUGAAGAACGCAGCGAAUUGCGAUAAGUAAUGUGAAUUGCAGAAUUCAGUGAAUCAUCGAAUCUUUGAACGCACCUUGCACUCUUUGGUAUUCCGAAGAGUAUGUCUGUUUGAGUGUCAUGAAACUCUCAACCCCCCUGUUUUGUAAUGAAACGGGCGUGGGCUUGGAUUAUGGCUGUUUGUCGGCGUCAUUGCCGGCUCAGCUGAAAUACACGAGCAACCCAUUUGAAAUAGACGGUUUGACUCGGCGUAAUAAUUAUUUCGCUGAGGACGUUUUCUUCAAAAGUCAGUGGUGCUUCUAAUGCGCUUUUUAAUUAAAGCACCUUAAGCUUUAGACCUCAAAUCAGUCAGGACUACCCGCUGAACUUAAGCAUAUCAAUAAGCGGAGGA